UACAGAGGGGGCAAGCGUUAUUCGGAAUUAUUGGGCGUAAAGGGCGCGUAGGCGGCUUGGCAAGUGGAAGGUGAAAUCCCUCGGCUUAACCGAGGAACUGCCCUCCAAACUGCUUUGCUUGGGGCCGGGAGAGGCGAGUGGAAUUCCCAGUGUAGCGGUGAAAUGCGUAGAUAUUGGGAGGAACACCAGUGGCGAAGGCGGCUCGCUGGACCGGUUCUGACGCUGAGGCGCGAAAGCGUGGGGAGCAAACGGG
This 253-nucleotide ribosomal RNA is filed under the name uncultured bacterium. RNAcentral's name for it is "partial 16S ribosomal RNA". It matches the Rfam family "Bacterial small subunit ribosomal RNA", at positions 524 to 776 of the family's 1533-position model. The record is from RNAcentral.